RNAcentral lists this ribosomal RNA (491 nucleotides) under uncultured beta proteobacterium. RNAcentral's name for it is "bacterial SSU rRNA". It matches the Rfam family "Bacterial small subunit ribosomal RNA", at positions 9 to 493 of the family's 1533-position model. Lineage: Bacteria; Pseudomonadati; Pseudomonadota; Betaproteobacteria. The record is from RNAcentral.
GAGUUUGAUCCUGGCUCAGAUUGAACGCUGGCGGCAUGCCUUACACAUGCAAGUCGAACGGCAGCAUGAUCUAGCUUGCUAGAUUGAUGGCGAGUGGCGAACGGGUGAGUAAUACAUCGGAACGUGCCCUGUAGUGGGGGAUAACUAGUCGAAAGAUUAGCUAAUACCGCAUACGACCUGAGGGUGAAAGUGGGGGACCGCAAGGCCUCAUGCUAUAGGAGCGGCCGAUGUCUGAUUAGCUAGUUGGUGGGGUAAAGGCCCACCAAGGCGACGAUCAGUAGCUGGUCUGAGAGGACGAUCAGCCACACUGGGACUGAGACACGGCCCAGACUCCUACGGGAGGCAGCAGUGGGGAAUUUUGGACAAUGGGCGAAAGCCUGAUCCAGCAAUGCCGCGUGUGUGAAGAAGGCCUUCGGGUUGUAAAGCACUUUUGUCCGGAAAGAAAUGGCUCUGGUUAAUACCUGGGGUCGAUGACGUACUGAAGAUAGGUU